RNAcentral lists this ribosomal RNA (515 nucleotides) under uncultured bacterium. RNAcentral's name for it is "bacterial SSU rRNA". It matches the Rfam family "Bacterial small subunit ribosomal RNA", at positions 15 to 518 of the family's 1533-position model. The record is from RNAcentral.
GAUCAUGGCUCAGAACGAACGCUGGCGGCGCGUCUUAAGCAUGCAAGUCGGACGGCAAGGGGAGCUUGCUCCCCCCUAGAGUGGCGGACUGGUGAGUAACGCGUGGGUGACCUACCCUUGAGAUGGGGAUAGCCAUUAGAAAUAGUGGAUAAUACCGAAUACGCUCUUUUUGCUGUGGCGAGAAGAGGAAACAGGCUACGGCCUGGCUCGAGGAUGGGCCCGCGUCCCAUUAGCUAGUGGUGAGGUAACGGCCCACCAAGGCGACGAUGGGUAUCCGGCCUGAGAGGGUGUACGGACACAUUGGGACUGAGAUACGGCCCAAACUCCUACGGGAGGCAGCAGCUAAGAAUAUUCCGCAAUGGACGAAAGUCUGACGGAGCGACGCCGCGUGGAUGAAGAAGGCCGAAAGGUUUAGUAAAAUCCUUUUGCUGAUGAAGAAUAAGUGGUGUAGGGAAUGACAUCAUGAUGACAUUAGUCGGUGAAUAAGCCCCGGCUAACUACGUGCCAGCAGCAGC